GACGUAGGUGGCGAACGUUACUCGGAAUUAUUGGGCGUAAAGGGUGCGUAGAUGGUUAAAUAAGUUAGUAGCGGUAAAUCAGAGCUCAACUUUGUGGAAGUUACUAAUACUGUUUAACUUGAGGACAGGAGAGGUUAACGGAACUCUCUGUAGAGCGGUGAAAUGCAUAGACAUAGAGAAGAACACCAAAGGCGAAGGCAGUUAACUAUUCUGUUCCUGACAUUGAGGCACGAAAGCGUGGGGAGCAAAAAGG
Molecule: ribosomal RNA, 253 nt
Filed under: uncultured bacterium
Lineage: Bacteria
Description: partial 16S ribosomal RNA
Rfam family: Bacterial small subunit ribosomal RNA
Source: RNAcentral